CCUACGGGAGGCAGCAGUAGGGAAUCUUCCGCAAUGGACGAAAGUCUGACGGAGCAACGCCGCGUGAACGAUGAAGGCCUUCGGGUCGUAAAGUUCUGUUGUUAGGGAAGAACAAGUGCUAGUUGAAUAAGCUGGCACCUUGACGGUACCUAACCAGAAAGCCACGGCUAACUACGUGCCAGCAGCCGCGGUAAUACGUAGGUGGCAAGCGUUGUCCGGAAUUAUUGGGCGUAAAGCGCGCGCAGGCGGUUUCUUAAGUCUGAUGUGAAAGCCCCCGGCUCAACCGGGGAGGGUCAUUGGAAACUGGGAAACUUGAGUGCAGAAGAGGAAAGUGGAAUUCCAAGUGUAGCGGUGAAAUGCGUAGAGAUUUGGAGGAACACCAGUGGCGAAGGCGACUUUCUGGUCUGUAACUGACGCUGAGGCGCGAAAGCGUGGGGAGCAAACAGGAUUAGAUACCCUGGUAGUCCACGCUGUAAACGAUGAGUGCUAAGUGUUAGAGGGUUUCCGCCCUUUAGUGCUGAAGUUAACGCAUUAAGCACUCCGCCUGGGGGAUACGGUCGCAAGACUGAAACUCAAAGGAAUUGACGG
Molecule: ribosomal RNA, 588 nt
Filed under: uncultured bacterium
Lineage: Bacteria
Description: bacterial SSU rRNA
Rfam family: Bacterial small subunit ribosomal RNA
Source: RNAcentral